UUCUCAAGGCCUCUAUGAAGUGCCUCACGGC
RNAcentral lists this non-coding RNA (31 nucleotides) under Homo sapiens (human). The record is from RNAcentral. Lineage: Eukaryota; Metazoa; Chordata; Mammalia; Primates; Hominidae.